GGGAGAAUCCUGAAUUCGAAAGGGACUUGUGGAUUCAGCCACUGUACCUGUGCGCAAUGGCGGCACCCGAACAGAUGACGCCUGUUGCCCGCAUGAGAUUAAUUUCGAUUGCGGGAGUCUACUGCGCUCACUCGGGAGGAGCUUGCUUUGCUGCCGGGGUGGUGCACUUCCUCCCCAGUAGAAACGUCGCGACCCGUUGGGUGCCGGCCUCAGGGCCCGGGGCGGCAGACCGCGCGUCCUUGCCGGGACUCCGUUCCCGGCAGGCGCGCGGACCCCCGGUGACCCGGCCGGCCGCCCGACGGUAGGACCAGAGGAGUCGAUCCGCAAAAACUGGAGAAACACUGUGGCUGUGAUGCGUCCGGCCCGGCACGGACGCCGGCGGGGAAUCUGGUUGAACCCGGGGGAACGCGUGCGACGCACGCGCCCGGCCCCGCCGCGCCGUCUUCGCCGGUGUCCUCGGACAGGAUCGGUGCUCCCGUCCGCGACGACCACCUUCGGAUGGUCUCCCG
This 509-nucleotide ribosomal RNA is filed under the name Xiphophasma sp. SB0080. RNAcentral's name for it is "partial large subunit ribosomal RNA". Lineage: Eukaryota; Metazoa; Arthropoda; Insecta; Phasmatodea; Heteronemiidae. The record is from RNAcentral.